CUUGAAAGAGUUUAAUGAAGUAGAUUCUUUAACCGAAAAGUUUGGAUCUUAUUUACAGUUGCUUAGCGUGGUUUGCCGGGUCGGCUAUUUUUGUAAACUGUACAUAUGAUGUGAUAAAUUAGACGUCAAACUUUAUAUCUGUGUUACAGCUUAUUAAUUUUUUACCAUAUUGGUGAGGAUAUCAGUAUGGUGUAUAUACUGAAUUUUUAAUAAAUUUAUAAUAGGGUUAAAGUUACCCUUUUAUUAAAAAAUUGUUUAAAAUUUUUUAAUAGGAUUUUCAGUUAUUUUUAAGGCUGUUUAAAAUCAAUUUUUUGAAAUUAAUGAUUUUUGAAUAAGUAAUAGAAUAAAUUUAAUCAUUUCUCAAGUUUAGCCCGUCUGUUUAUUAAAAACAUUUCUAUAUUUUAAUCUUAUAUAGUAGUACCUGCUCUAUGUUAAUAUAAAUGGCCGCAGUAUUUUGACUGUGCGAAGGUAGCAUAAUUAAUUGCCUUAUAAUUAAAGGCUUGUUUGAAUGGUUUGACGUGGUUAAUACAAAUGUUUAACUUUUUUUUGAAAUUUAUAUGGAGGGCACAGAAUCCUCCAUACUUAAUUAGACGGAAAGACCCCAGGAUCUUUCGUUUUUGUCUGGGGCAGAUUUUUAUGUUUCAUAAAAAAUUAUGAUCCUUAUGCUUAAGUAUAAUGAUUUAAGUUACCCUGGGGAUAACAGUGUAAUAGUCUAUAAGAGUUCUUAUCGAAUAGACUGUUUGCUACCUCGAUGUUGACUUAGAUAAAUGGGUAGGCGCAGUAGUCUACUUUUUU
This 795-nucleotide ribosomal RNA is filed under the name Proteocephalus gobiorum. RNAcentral describes it as "partial 16S ribosomal RNA". The stretch from base 557 to 795 matches the Rfam family "Bacterial large subunit ribosomal RNA", at positions 2045 to 2572 of the family's 2925-position model. The record is from RNAcentral. Lineage: Eukaryota; Metazoa; Platyhelminthes; Cestoda; Proteocephalidea; Proteocephalidae.